AUGGCUGGUAGGAAGAUUAAUAUUGAAUCUGGGAACAUUGCUAGGGUGUGGAGUGAUCCUAUUAACGGACUGCUUCCGUUCAAGGAUCAAUACCCUCAGCUAUUUGACAUUUGCAAUAUUCCUGGAUGUACUAUCAAACAAGUGUUCGCUGUGGAAACUGGUUCCUUUUUUAGACGAAGGCUCACUCCUGCUCUACAUGAACAGUGGGGGGUCGUUUUAGAUACAAUUAACAAACUACCACUUACUGACACAGAGGAUCGAGUGGUCUGGAGCUUGAACCAGAAUGGUAAAUUUAGCACCAAAUCUGUUUAUAAGUGGCUUGAAAAACCUCUCAAUGGGUGUCAUUAUAAAUGGAUUUGGAAGGCCAAAAUUCCACUUAAGAUCAAAUAAUUUAUGUGGCAACUUUCUCAAGACGCGGUGCUGACUAGGCAGGUGAUGCGCCGUAGGAAUUGGCCUGGGAACCCUGUGUGUUCAUUUUGUAACGAAAUAGAGACUUCCCAACACCUGUUCUUUACCUGCUCAGUUGCUAGAGUGGUGUGGCGAUCUAUUGGGGUGGCUAUUGGCACCGAUAAAUGUCCUGAUAACUAUUGGCAAUUUUUUGCUUGGUGUUAUACCUUUCUUUCAGGAGGGGAGAAAUUCUAUACGGUUGGUCUUGCAGCCGCUUGCCGGGCAGUCUGGCUUGCUCGCAAUAAGGCUACCUUGAGAAAAAGCAAAUUAAGUCUCCUUUUGAAAUCGUGUUCUCCAUGUGUUCUUUUCUGUUGUAUUGGACAGGGCUGCAGAAGGGUGACGACGCCGACAAGCUACGCUCAGGUGCCGAGAUGA
Molecule: ribosomal RNA, 822 nt
Filed under: Triticum aestivum (bread wheat)
Lineage: Eukaryota; Viridiplantae; Streptophyta; Magnoliopsida; Poales; Poaceae
Description: partial small subunit ribosomal RNA
Source: RNAcentral